RNAcentral lists this ribosomal RNA (258 nucleotides) under uncultured bacterium. Its description in RNAcentral is "partial 16S ribosomal RNA". It matches the Rfam family "Bacterial small subunit ribosomal RNA", at positions 96 to 354 of the family's 1533-position model. The record is from RNAcentral.
CGGCGGACGGGUGAGUAACGCGUGGGUAACCUGCCUCAUACAGGGGGAUAACAGUUAGAAAUGACUGCUAAUACCGCAUAAGCGCACGGGACUGCAUGGUCCAGUGUGAAAAACCGAGGUGGUAUGAGAUGGACCCGCGUCUGAUUAGCUGGUUGGCGGGGUAACGGCCCACCAAGGCGACGAUCAGUAGCCGACCUGAGAGGGUGGCCGGCCACAUUGGGACUGAGACACGGCCCAAACUCCUACGGGAGGCAGCAG